Molecule: transfer RNA, 85 nt
Filed under: Felis catus (domestic cat)
Lineage: Eukaryota; Metazoa; Chordata; Mammalia; Carnivora; Felidae
Also listed under: 3 other names
Rfam family: tRNA
About the family: Transfer RNA (tRNA) molecules are approximately 80 nucleotides in length. Their secondary structure includes four short double-helical elements and three loops (D, anti-codon, and T loops). Further hydrogen bonds mediate the characteristic L-shaped molecular structure. tRNAs have two regions of fundamental functional importance: the anti-codon, which is responsible for specific mRNA codon recognition, and the 3' end, to which the tRNAs corresponding amino acid is attached (by aminoacyl-tRNA synthetases). tRNAs cope with the degeneracy of the genetic code in two manners: having more than one tRNA (with a specific anti-codon) for a particular amino acid; and 'wobble' base-pairing, i.e. permitting non-standard base-pairing at the 3rd anti-codon position.
Source: Rfam by way of RNAcentral
GCCUGGGUGGCUCAGUCGGUUAAGUGUCUGACUUCGGCUCAGGUCAUGAUCUCUCAGUUUGUGAGUUCGAGCCCCACAUCGGGCU